This is a long non-coding RNA of Phasianus colchicus (ring-necked pheasant), 1968 nucleotides long. NCBI's taxonomy places the organism in Eukaryota, Metazoa, Chordata, Aves, Galliformes, Phasianidae. The record is from Ensembl.
GAGAAAGACCACACCAUGGGUGUGUUCUCUCCCCAGCUCCACGUUCUCACUCUCCACCUCCUGCUCUGAGCCUCAUGGCGUGGCAGGAUAAAGGCACUGUGGCCUGUUAGUGACCUCGUGAACUGUUCCUGCAGCUGCAAUGACAGAAUCACAGACUGGUUGAAGUUGACGAGGACCUCUGGUGGACACCUGGUCCAACCCCUGCUCAAAUAGGGACAGUCAGAGCAGGGUGCCCAGGACUGUGUCCAGACAGCUCUUGAACAUCUCUAGAAAAGGAGAUCCCACAUCAUCUCUGUGUUCCAGUGCUUGGUCAUCCCCACAGUACAGAAGUACUGCCUUGUGUUCAGAGGAAACCUUCUGUGUUCCAGUUCAUGCCCAGUGCCUCCUGUUUUGUCCAUAGGCACUGCUGUUCAACCACUCAAUCAUGCCACAAGGUUUAGGCAGAGCAGUGACAGGGGGCCAGUAACAUUAAAUUCCUCUUUACCCCAGCCCCAGGGAAGCAGCUGGUUAGAGCCAUGGGCUCCCCAAACCAGACUGCUGUGCUGAAAUUUUGCAUUGAAAAGCUGCAGUAUCACAUCACCACCAAAGACUAGCAGAGAAGGGGAAAGGCAUUCGUCUGGCAUAGCUGUUCCCUCCCCAGAGGAAAAGACCAUAAAUUAUAGUAAUGUUUUGAGGAUUUCUUAUUUUCACCCUGUUUAUCUGCCUGCUAGAGCCUUUUUUUUUUUUUUUUUUUUUUUUUUUUUUUUUUUUUUUUUUUUUUUUUUUUUUUUUUUUUUUUUUUUUUUAAAUAUGUCUUGUUAAGCCAUUUGUUUCACAGUUGCCAGUGGGGACAGUUUGUUCUCCCACACUGCAUUGGUAUAAUUCCCCCUAGUUUCUAAGUGAGGUCUUGAAUCAGGCUUCAGGGGGGAUUUGCCCUUGAAAGCGAACCCACUGACAGCUAUUUCCAGUUUGGUCCUGAUAGGAGGUUUACAAAAUAUCUUGUCCCACCAGCAGUCUGGUCCACUGCCUUUUUCCAGUACCUUUUUAGGAGGAAGAAAUGCUGGUCUGUGUCAGAAGGAAGGUGUUUGGAAGACAGUCAGACUGGGGACCUGGGCAGGAAUCAGCCCUCCUCCUUCUUUGAGGCAAAGAGCUACCCAGGAUGUGAGAAGACCUGUGUGAAAUCCCCAAAACUUUCUAAGAACAAUCCAGGUCUUGAAGAGGAAUUUUCAGUGCCAGCUGUCAAAAAUCUUUGGCAAGAAUGGUCCUUCAAAUGGAUUUCUCUUGAAGCAAGUAUCAGCCUCCUGAAUCAUCCUCAGGUAUCACUUGGAAAUUUCCAUCCUAAGCCAUUCCCAGGCACGGUGUACAUGAAGUGACAGAAGAGAAGAAAUGGGAGAACGUGUGGAGAAUGGCCUUCAGUACUGUGACAGCCAUCUCACUCUCUCCUCAGGCCCUCAGAAGGUUUGGGGAAAUUGGCUGCAGGACAUUAUAAACAGACUUUGCAAGAUCUGCAGGCCACACUUUCCUUUGAAGAUUUCUGUGAAAACAAUCCCUGAAACAUUGGGAUAUGUUGAAUGUCAGUUAUGAUUUAUGAAAUGAGACUUCAAGCCUUAUUUCCUUUUGUUACUGAGUAAAAGUUUUUCAAAUGCUUAUUAAUAUAACCUGAGGAUCAAGAAGGAAAACAAUGAAUCACUUGCAAAGAAGAAAUGAAUUCUCCAAGAGAAUCCUAAAAAAGAAGCAUUCAUCAGUCGUGCGUCUUCAUUUAUCUCCCCGGGCUGAGCUGCAGUCCCAUCUGUGUGACUGAUGCUGACUCUGAACAGCUCCUUCUCCACCUCCUGCCUGUCCUUUCCCUGGUUAGUCACACUUCCCACUUGGAGAAAACGACAAUCUCGAGCUCCUUAGAGGCGACACAACUCAGUUUCUCUAUCUUCCCCUAUUACCAUUCAUACUCUGGCCAGUUCAAAGAGUGAACACAAAUCAAUACCCUCAGCU